CCUUUAUUAGGAAGAGCGACGGGCGAUGUGUACACAUCUCAGAGCUUUUUUCAAAUUAUCUUUCUAAAAUAAUUUUACUUCCAAAUCCACCUUAAAUUGUUUUUUCAUAAAAUUUCCGUGUAAUUUAUAAUUAUUGUAACCCAUCACCACCUUCUUAUAAGCUGCACCUUGACCUGAAGUUAGUAAAAAUAGUUAAUUUAGAUAAUAUCUUUUUAGAAUUAUCUGACAACGGCGGUAUACAAACUAGACAAAAGAAGGUAAGGUAAAACGUGGAUUGUCGAUUACGGGACAGGUUCCUCUGGAAAGAGUGAGAUGCCGUCAAAUUCUUUGGGUUUGGAGAUUUUCUUUUACUACCCUGGCAAUGAAGGAUAAGAAUAGUAGGGUAUCUAAUCCUAGUUUAGUAACUUAUUUAAGUAGAUUAAAUCUUAUAUUUUCAGUUUGUUCGUUUAUAGCUGAGGAUUUCACCCCUAAUAAUAUUAUCACUAAACUGAUUGUAAAUUUACAUUUUACUACAUUCCGCCAAUAUAUCUUAUUCAAGUCCUUCGUCUAACCGCGGUGGCUGGCACGAUUUUUACCGACUUUAUUUUUAUUGCUAAGUCUACAGUUUGUAAUAAUUAAUAUUCAUUACUAUAGCAUUAUCUUUUAGACAUCUCUUGAUUAUAUGUAAAGCAUAAAAACAAUAAGAUUUA
This 689-nucleotide ribosomal RNA is filed under the name Imnadia yeyetta. Its description in RNAcentral is "partial 12S ribosomal RNA". Lineage: Eukaryota; Metazoa; Arthropoda; Branchiopoda; Diplostraca; Limnadiidae. The record is from RNAcentral.